GACGAACGCUGGCGGCGUGCCUAAUACAUGCAAGUAGAACGCUGAAGGAGGAGCUUGCUUCUCUGGAUGAGUUGCGAACGGGUGAGUAACGCGUAGGUAACCUGCCUGGUAGCGGGGGAUAACUAUUGGAAACGAUAGCUAAUACCGCAUAAUAGUAGAUGUUGCAUGACAUUUACUUAAAAGGUGCAAUUGCAUCACUACCAGAUGGACCUGCGUUGUAUUAGCUAGUUGGUGGGGUAACGGCUCACCAAGGCGACGAUACAUAGCCGACCUGAGAGGGUGAUCGGCCACACUGGGACUGAGACACGGCCCAGACUCCUACGGGAGGCAGCAGAAGGGAAUCUUCGGCAAUAGACGAAAGUCUGACCGAGCAACGCCGCGUGAGUGAAGAAGGUUUUCGGAUCGUAAAGCUCUGUUGUAAGAGAAGAACGAGUGUGAGAGUGGAAAGUUCACACUGUGACGGUAUCUUACCAGAAAGGGACGGCUAACUACGUG
This 495-nucleotide ribosomal RNA is filed under the name uncultured bacterium. RNAcentral's name for it is "partial 16S ribosomal RNA". It matches the Rfam family "Bacterial small subunit ribosomal RNA", at positions 28 to 507 of the family's 1533-position model. The record is from RNAcentral.